AGCCUUCCUUUAAGCGGGAGAUAGCCCAUAGAAAUGUGGAUUAAUACCCCAUAGUAAUAUUGAUUGGCAUCAAUUGAUAUUUAAAGAUUUAUCACUUAAAGAUGGCUGUGCGGCUGAUUAGGUAGUUGGUGUGGGUAACGGCCCACCAAGCCUUCGAUCAGUAACUGGUGUGAGAGCACGACCAGUCACACGGGCACUGAGACACGGGCCCG
This 212-nucleotide ribosomal RNA is filed under the name uncultured bacterium. Its description in RNAcentral is "partial 16S ribosomal RNA". It matches the Rfam family "Bacterial small subunit ribosomal RNA", at positions 123 to 334 of the family's 1533-position model. The record is from RNAcentral.